UCUACACCUGUCUCAAAAACAGACAGUGGUUGGAUAAAUUAAUUUUGUAUGCUGUGUGAGUGUAGGGAUUGCUGUAUGCAUUAUUAACAAGUGCAUUGGUUGUGGGAAGAAAUGUAUCUGUCCGAGUGCGACCCCUGCUUUUAGACAGGUGUGAGCAACUCCAGACAGUCAGCCCAGCCCAGGUCAGUCCGAAUGCUACCCCCUCCUCUUGCCCUGCCUUCAAAUAGAGGAAUUGAGGGCAGUAGGUGAAGAAAACGUGAAAGGAAUGAGGGAUGGAAAGCCCCAAAUGAGGCUGCCAGAGGCCAACUGCCGAAAAAUGAACAAAGGGAAGCAGUUCCUUAUACAGAAGGAUGAAUCAUCAGAUUCAGAGGAGCCUGCAGAGGGAUGGAAAGCAAAUAAUCAUGGCACUCCUCCCCCUACUCUCUGUCCUCCUUGCUCUCUUUGUCAUAUCAAAGCCCUGCCACAGAAUACACAGCAGUGGGCUAUAGCAUCACUCCUGACUGCUCGUCUAGUUUGUCAUGUCAUGUACUUUUGUUACAUCUGAGAUUGCCAACAGACAUCACAACAGAGCCGCUAUGUGUUGAUGGGCCAAAAAUAUCAGUGAAAGUUGAAUAUGCCAAAAAAUAACAUUCUUUAGAAACCUGGUACAAAUAUGAUGAUGCAGAGUAAAAAAAA
This is a long non-coding RNA of Carassius auratus (goldfish), 675 nucleotides long. RefSeq lists it as uncharacterized. NCBI's taxonomy places the organism in Eukaryota, Metazoa, Chordata, Actinopteri, Cypriniformes, Cyprinidae. The transcript has 2 exons. The record is from RefSeq and is a predicted model, not a curated record.